GACGAACGCUGGCGGCGUGCUUAACACAUGCAAGUCGAACGGAAAGGCCCUGCUUUUGUGGGGUGCUCGAGUGGCGAACGGGUGAGUAACACGUGAGUGACCUGCCCUUGACUUUGGGAUAACUUCAGGAAACUGGGGCUAAUACCGGAUAGGAGCUCCUGCUGCAUGGUGGGGGUUGGAAAGUUUCGGCGGUUGGGGAGGGACUCGCGGCUUAUCAGCUUGUUGGUGGGGUAGUGGCUUACCAAGGCGUUGACGGGUAGCCGGCCUGAGAGGGUGACCGGCCACAUUGGGACUGAGAUACGGCCCAGACUCCUACGGGAGGCAGCAGUGGGGAAUAUUGCACAAUGGGCGGAAGCCUGAUGCAGCAACGCCGCGUGCGGGAUGACGGCCUUCGGGUUGUAAACCGCUUUCGCCUGUGACGAAGCGUGAGUGACGGUAAUGGGUAAAGAAGCACCGGCUAACUACGUG
This 468-nucleotide ribosomal RNA is filed under the name uncultured bacterium. Its description in RNAcentral is "partial 16S ribosomal RNA". It matches the Rfam family "Bacterial small subunit ribosomal RNA", at positions 28 to 507 of the family's 1533-position model. The record is from RNAcentral.